AUUGCUUCUCGGCCGUUUGGCUAACAUCAACUGUAGUAUCUGUUCUUAUCAGUUUAAUUUUGUGAUAUUAAAAAAGUACUAAAAUACUGGAAAGAAACAGCACAU
RNAcentral lists this small nuclear RNA (105 nucleotides) under Equus asinus (donkey). Its description in RNAcentral is "U2 spliceosomal RNA (ENSEASG00005034199.1)". It matches the Rfam family "U2 spliceosomal RNA". From Rfam's summary of the family: U2 is a small nuclear RNA (snRNA) component of the spliceosome (involved in pre-mRNA splicing). Complementary binding between U2 snRNA (in an area lying towards the 5' end but 3' to hairpin I) and the branchpoint sequence (BPS) of the intron results the bulging out of an unpaired adenosine, on the BPS, which initiates a nucleophilic attack at the intronic 5' splice site, thus starting the first of two transesterification reactions that mediate splicing. The record is from Rfam by way of RNAcentral. Lineage: Eukaryota; Metazoa; Chordata; Mammalia; Perissodactyla; Equidae.